RNAcentral lists this ribosomal RNA (137 nucleotides) under Sorex araneus (European shrew). Lineage: Eukaryota; Metazoa; Chordata; Mammalia; Eulipotyphla; Soricidae. The record is from RNAcentral.
UUCUACAGCCAUAUCCUGAAUAUGCCCGAUCUCAUCUGAUCUAGGAAGCUAUGCAGGGUUGAGCCUGGUUAGUACUUGGGUGGGAGAAGAAAUAAAAGACUUAAGUGAGGAAUAGAAGAACCGAGGCAAAGUAAAAA